Molecule: ribosomal RNA, 253 nt
Filed under: uncultured bacterium
Lineage: Bacteria
Description: partial 16S ribosomal RNA
Rfam family: Bacterial small subunit ribosomal RNA
Source: RNAcentral
CACGUAGGGUGCGAGCGUUGUCCGGAAUUAUUGGGCGUAAAGGGCGCGUAGGCGGUUUGGUUAGUUAGGCGUGAAAUUCCUGGGCUCAACCUGGGGGCUGCGCUUAAUACAGCCAGACUAGAGUGUGAAAGAGGGUCGUGGAAUUCCCAGUGUAGAGGUGAAAUUCGUAGAUAUUGGGAAGAACACCGGUGGCGAAGGCGGCGACCUGGUUCAUUACUGACGCUGAGGCGCGAAAGCGUGGGGAGCAAACAGG